This 158-nucleotide ribosomal RNA is filed under the name Porpidia sp. UR00022. Its description in RNAcentral is "5.8S ribosomal RNA". It matches the Rfam family "5.8S ribosomal RNA". Rfam says of the family: 5.8S ribosomal RNA (5.8S rRNA) is a component of the large subunit of the eukaryotic ribosome. It is transcribed by RNA polymerase I as part of the 45S precursor that also contains 18S and 28S rRNA. RNAcentral also lists the same sequence under 3 other names. Lineage: Eukaryota; Fungi; Ascomycota; Lecanoromycetes; Lecideales; Lecideaceae. The record is from RNAcentral.
AAAACUUUCAACAACGGAUCUCUUGGUUCUGGCAUCGAUGAAGAACGCAGCGAAAUGCGAUAAUUAAUGUGAAUUGCAGAAUUCAGUGAAUCAUCGAAUCUUUGAACGCACAUUGCGCCCCUUGGUAUUCCGAGGGGCAUGCCUGUUCGAGCGUCAUU